RNAcentral lists this ribosomal RNA (308 nucleotides) under uncultured bacterium. RNAcentral describes it as "bacterial SSU rRNA". It matches the Rfam family "Bacterial small subunit ribosomal RNA", at positions 199 to 507 of the family's 1533-position model. The record is from RNAcentral.
GAUUAAAGGUAUUCCGGUAGACGAUGGGGAUGCGUUCCAUUAGAUAGUAGGCGGGGUAACGGCCCACCUAGUCUUCGAUGGAUAGGGGUUCUGAGAGGAAGGUCCCCCACAUUGGAACUGAGACACGGUCCAAACUCCUACGGGAGGCAGCAGUGAGGAAUAUUGGUCAAUGGGCGAGAGCCUGAACCAGCCAAGUAGCGUGCAGGAUGACGGCCCUAUGGGUUGUAAACUGCUUUUAUAAGGGAAUAAAGUGGGAGUCGUGACUCUUUUUGCAUGUACCUUAUGAAUAAGGACCGGCUAAUUCCGUG